AGUGAACGCUGGCGGUAGGCCUAACACAUGCAAGUCGAACGGCAGCACAGUAAGAGCUUGCUCUUACGGGUGGCGAGUGGCGGACGGGUGAGGAAUACAUCGGAAUCUACUUUUUCGUGGGGGAUAACGUAGGGAAACUUACGCUAAUACCGCAUACGACCUACGGGUGAAAGCAGGGGAUCUUCGGACCUUGCGCGAUUGAAUGAGCAGAUGUCGGAUUAGCUAGUUGGCGGGGUAAAGGCCCACCAAGGCGACGAUCCGUAGCUGGUCUGAGAGGAUGAUCAUCCACACUGGAACUGAGACACGGUCCAGACUCCUACGGGAGGCAGCAGUGGGGAAUAUUGGACAAUGGGCGCAAGCCUGAUCCAGCCAUACCGCGUGGGUGAAGAAGGCCUUCGGGUUGUAAAGCCCUUUUGUUGGGAAAGAAAAGCAGCAGGUUAAUACCCCGCUGUUCUGACGGUACCCAAAGAAUAAGCACCGGCUAACUUCGUG
This 492-nucleotide ribosomal RNA is filed under the name uncultured bacterium. Its description in RNAcentral is "partial 16S ribosomal RNA". It matches the Rfam family "Bacterial small subunit ribosomal RNA", at positions 29 to 507 of the family's 1533-position model. The record is from RNAcentral.